This 1647-nucleotide ribosomal RNA is filed under the name Triticum aestivum (bread wheat). Its description in RNAcentral is "partial small subunit ribosomal RNA". Lineage: Eukaryota; Viridiplantae; Streptophyta; Magnoliopsida; Poales; Poaceae. The record is from RNAcentral.
AUGGGCUGCGUCCACGGCCGCCCCUCCGCCGUUCCUACUCCCGACCGCCCGCCUCCCGAGCCGAAGCCCGAGCAGGCGCCGCCGCAAGAGGGCGACAAGUUCCCGGCCACGGCCGAGAAGCCCGCCAGGAAGGAGAGGCGGUCCCGGUCGUCGCGCUCGGUGGCCGAGGCCCGUCUCGGCGGCAGCUUUGCCAACAGGGCACGCGGGGAGCAGGUCGCCGCCGGCUGGCCCGCCUGGCUCUCCGCCGUCGCGGGCGAGGCCAUCGACGGCUGGACCCCGCGUCGCGCCGACUCUUUCGAGAAGAUCGACAAGAUCGGCCAGGGCACGUACAGCAAUGUGUACAAGGCGCGGGAUACCGUGAGCGGCAAGAUCGUGGCGCUCAAGAAGGUGCGCUUCGACAACCUCGAGCCCGAGAGCGUUCGCUUCAUGGCCCGCGAGAUCCUCAUCCUCCGCCGCCUCGACCACCCCAGCGUCAUCAAGAUCGAUGGCCUCGUCACCUCUCGCAUGUCCUGCAGCCUCUACCUCGUCUUCGAGUACAUGGAGCACGACCUCGCCGGGCUGGUCGCCAGCCCGGAUAUUAAAUUCACCGAGCCACAGGUUAAGUGCUAUAUGAACCAGCUGUUGUCGGGGCUGGAGCACUGCCAUGACCGCGGGGUGUUGCACCGUGAUAUUAAGGGGUCGAAUCUGCUUUUGGAUAACAAUGGCAUGUUGAAGAUUGCAGAUUUUGGUCUGGCGUCAUUCUUUGAUCCAAGCCGUAAGCAACCAAUGACAAGCAGGGUUGUGACACUAUGGUACCGCCCACCAGAGUUACUUUUGGGCGCGACCGAUUAUGGGGUGGGCGUGGACCUAUGGAGCGCGGGAUGUAUACUCGCGGAGUUGUUGGCUGGGAGGCCUAUUAUGCCAGGCCGAACCGAGGUGGAACAGCUGCACAAAAUUUUUAAGCUGUGUGGCUCCCCCACAGAAGAAUAUUGGAAAAAGUCGAAGUUGCCUCAUGCAACGAUAUUUAAGCCUCAGCAGCCAUACAAAAGACGAAUAACGGAUACAUUCAAAGAUUUUCCACAAUCCGCACUGCGGUUGAUUGAAACACUGCUUGCAAUUGAUCCGGCUGAUCGUUUGACAGCGUCCUCUGCAUUAAGAAGUGAUUUCUUUACCACUGAACCUUAUGCAUGCGAACCAUCGAGUCUCCCAAAAUAUCCCCCAAGCAAAGAAAUGGAUGCAAAGCGAAGAGAUGAAGAAGCCAGACGUUCAAGAGCUGCUGGUGGUAGACCUAAUGGUGAUGGAGCUAGCAAGGCAAGGACACGUGACCGGCCCAGGGGAGCUCCAGCUCCAGAGGCAAAUGCCGAGCUUCAAGUAAAUAUUGAUAAAAGGAGGAUAGUAAGUCAUGCAAAUGCGAAAAGCAAGAGUGAAAAGUUUCCUCCCCCGCAUCAGGAUGGUGCAGUUGGUUUCCCUUUGGGUUCUUCAAAUCAAAUGGACCCACUGUAUGAACCCCCAGACCCAACUUCCUUCAGCACUGUGUUUUCUCAUGAGAAAAGCUCCGUGCCUACUUGGUCUGGACCAUUGGUCAAUUCUUCCGCAGUUGGGAACCAAAAGCGGAAACACAAGUCCAGCCGCUCAUCAAAACAACCGUCCACUGCCCGUGCUCGGUAA